GCACAUUUUCUCUUGCACAAGUUAUUGGACAACUAUAUUCAGAAUAGAACUUAUGUUUUGUGGUUUGAUCUGAUCAUUGUUGCAUGAUUCCCUAGGUUAAUAUAAAUUCUACCUAGGCCAAUAAAAAGGAAACUUGUUGUACAAAGAGGUCAUCUUCUAGCCCCCUAACUGGCUUGUUGUAAUCUGUAUAUUUCUCCUCUUGAACAGGCCUGAUAUCAAAGUAUUGAUGGAACUGAGAGGAUUGUUAUAUUUAGUGAAUGACCAAAGGGGCUUGUUUGCUAGGUGGUGUGGGAUAAGACUUUAUAUGUUGGAUUAGGAUGUCUUUAAAAUAUAAGGUAUUAAUAUUAUGUUUGCUUGAAUGUAUAAUUUUUUUUGCAACAUAUGCUCAUUGCAUCCUUUCAAGUUAUUACUUGUUUUCAUUGUUGUUAAUGUAAACCAUUGUGACUCUGUUUGAUCUGAAUCCUCUGCUGAAGUCAGAGAGAGUUAAAGAAUUAGACAACUACGUGAGUUUACACUAAGAAUGACUUGUUGCUUUGAUCACUGUGCAGCAAUCCUGCUUCAAAUGAAGUUUGAAGAAUGUCGCUCAAUGGGGCAACUAUUCCAGAUAAAGUUAAUGUUAUCAUGACGUGCCCUCAGGGAUGGGAACUGUAUUCCAACUGAGAUCAGUCCAGACUCGUCUUAGGUGGGCAUUUGGCGUGUAUACGGGACAUUGAGCCAGAGGCCAAAGUCGAACAUUUGAGAAAUCGCUAGUGCGUAUGGUGAGAAAUUCAGUUUUCUGAGCUUUACUCCAUAAUUUUCUCCAUUGUAGUGUUGUGAUAGUGUAUUUGAACACGUGGUAGGUUAGGUAUAUAUCAAGAUGUAGCAGAAAAUUUGAAGGCAAAGACAAAAGCAUAACUUGUUGUGGAAUGUUUGGCGUUAAGUUGAAUGGAUUGUGGUAGUGGGUUAAAUUGCAUUGGAUCUCAGGCCGGAAUGCUACCUUCCAAACAUACAAUACUUCUCUGCAUAUGUUGACAAAGAAUAUGUCAAAACUAUCUGGCUAUAAUCCAUUUUAUUAAUUCCCAUUUGGAUUAGUGCACCUGUUUUCUUUGCUAAUUGAAGUAACUUUUUUUGGAUUAUUGUUAAUCAUGUUAUCAAUUACUUCCCAAAAGCGACAUCAACUCUCUUCUUUUCACGUAAUUAUCAAGUCAAGUAAAUUUGAG
Molecule: long non-coding RNA, 1199 nt
Filed under: Salvia miltiorrhiza (redroot sage)
Lineage: Eukaryota; Viridiplantae; Streptophyta; Magnoliopsida; Lamiales; Lamiaceae
Description: long non-coding RNA (SMIL_LNC004994)
Source: RNAcentral